AUACGGAGGAUGCGAGCGUUAUCCGGAUUUAUUGGGUUUAAAGGGUGCGUAGGCGGUCGGGUAAGCGUAGGGUGAAAGUCCUCUGCUCAACAGAGGAAGUGCCUUCCGAACUGUCCGACUGGAAUGCUCCUGCCGUGGGAGGGAUGUGUGGUGUAGCGGUGAAAUGCAUAGAGAUCACACAGAACACCGAUUGCGAAGGCAUCUCACGAAGGGGCUAUUGACGCUGAGGCACGAAAGCGUGGGGAUCAAACAGGAUUAGAUACCCUGGUAGUCCACGCAGUAAACGAUGAUGACUAACCGUCGGUCAAGACUGAUCGGUGGCCAAGCGAAAGCGAUAAGUCAUCCACCUGGGGAGUACGACCGCAAGGUUGAAACUCAAAUGAAUUGACGGGG
RNAcentral lists this ribosomal RNA (393 nucleotides) under uncultured bacterium. RNAcentral describes it as "partial 16S ribosomal RNA". It matches the Rfam family "Bacterial small subunit ribosomal RNA", at positions 523 to 918 of the family's 1533-position model. The record is from RNAcentral.